This 449-nucleotide ribosomal RNA is filed under the name uncultured organism. Its description in RNAcentral is "partial 16S ribosomal RNA". It matches the Rfam family "Bacterial small subunit ribosomal RNA", at positions 334 to 799 of the family's 1533-position model. The record is from RNAcentral.
CACUCCUGCGGGAGGCAGCAGUGGGGAAUAUUGGACAAUGGGCGCAAGCAUGAUCCAGCCAUGCCGCGUGAGUGAUGAAGGCCCUAGGGUUGUAAAGCUCUUUCACCGGUGAAGAUAAUGACGGUAACCGGAGAAGAAGCCCCGGCUAACUUCGUGCCAGCAGCCGCGGUAAUACGAAGGGGGCUAGCGUUGUUCGGAUUUACUGGGCGUAAAGCGCACGUAGGCGGACUAUUAAGUCAGGGGUGAAAUCCCGGGGCUCAACCCCGGAACUGCCUUUGAUACUGGUAGUCUUGAGUUCGAGAGAGGUGAGUGGAAUUCCGAGUGUAGAGGUGAAAUUCGUAGAUAUUCGGAGGAACACCAGUGGCGAAGGCGGCUCACUGGCUCGAUACUGACGCUGAGGUGCGAAAGCGUGGGGAGCAAACAGGAUUAGAAACCCGUGUAGUCCCAUG